CUCCAACUCUAUGGGAGUAAGAUGCUUCUUGCUUCAGCAGGCACCUGAACUCAGUGCCUGCCAGCCAACCCUGACCUCCUGACCUCCUGACCUCCUGACCUCCUGACCUCCUGACCACUAAGAAGUGUCAGAAAUGACAGAGAGGUUUUACAUAAGAUAACUGAAUAAAAUGGCUGCCUAAACAAGAUCUCAACAAGGAUAGCAACAAUAGACAAGCUAAUGUGAAAAAGAGAUAUAAAGGAGCGCAUCCCCC
This is a long non-coding RNA of Mastomys coucha (southern multimammate mouse), 253 nucleotides long. RefSeq lists it as uncharacterized. The transcript is spliced from 3 exons. Lineage: Eukaryota; Metazoa; Chordata; Mammalia; Rodentia; Muridae. The record is from RefSeq and is a predicted model, not a curated record.